This 315-nucleotide ribosomal RNA is filed under the name uncultured bacterium. Its description in RNAcentral is "bacterial SSU rRNA". It matches the Rfam family "Bacterial small subunit ribosomal RNA", at positions 28 to 334 of the family's 1533-position model. The record is from RNAcentral.
GAUGAACGCUAGCUACGAGGCUUAACACAUGCAAGUCGAGGGGCAUCGGGAAGAAAGCUUGCUUUCUUUGCCGGCGACCGGCGCACGGGUGAGUAACACGUAUCCAACCUGCCCUUUACUCGGGGAUAGCCUUUCGAAAGAAAGAUUAAUACCCGAUGGCAUAAUGAUUCCGCAUGGUUUCAUUAUUAAAGGAUUCCGGUAAAGGAUGGGGAUGCGUUCCAUUAGGUUGUUGGUGAGGUAACGGCUCACCAAGCCUUCGAUGGAUAGGGGUUCUGAGAGGAAGGUCCCCCACAUUGGAACUGAGACACGGUCCAA